Molecule: ribosomal RNA, 253 nt
Filed under: uncultured bacterium
Lineage: Bacteria
Description: partial 16S ribosomal RNA
Rfam family: Bacterial small subunit ribosomal RNA
Source: RNAcentral
UACGAAGGGGGCUAGCGUUGUUCGGAAUCACUGGGCGUAAAGCGCACGUAGGCGGAUUCUUAAGUCAGGGGUGAAAUCCCGAGGCUCAACCUCGGAACCGCCUUUGAUACUGGGGAUCUCGAGUCCGGGAGAGGUGAGUGGAAUUGCGAGUGUAGAGGUGAAAUUCGUAGAUAUUCGCAAGAACACCAGUGGCGAAGGCGGCUCACUGGCCCGGAACUGACGCUGAGGUGCGAAAUCGUGGGGAGCAAACAGG